AACGAACGCUGGCGGCAGGCUUAACACAUGCAAGUCGAACGGGUGUAGCAAUACAUCAGUGGCAGACGGGUGAGUAACACGUGGGAACCUUCCUAGGGGUACGGAACAACUCAGGGAAACUUGAGCUAAUACCGUAUACGUCCGUGAGGAGAAAGAUUUAUCGCCCUUAGACGGGCCCGCGUCGGAUUAGGUAGUUGGUGGGGUAACGGCCUACCAAGCCUACGAUCCGUAGCUGAUCUGAGAGGAUGAUCAGCCACACUGGGACUGAGACACGGCCCAGACUCCUACGGGAGGCAGCAGUGGGGAAUCUUGGACAAUGGGCGCAAGCCUGAUCCAGCCAUGCCGCGUGAGUGAAGAAGGCCUUAGGGUUGUAAAGCUCUUUUACCAGGGACGAUAAUGACGGUACCUGGAGAAUAAGCCCCGGCAAACUUCGUGCC
This 437-nucleotide ribosomal RNA is filed under the name uncultured Alphaproteobacteria bacterium. RNAcentral's name for it is "bacterial SSU rRNA". It matches the Rfam family "Bacterial small subunit ribosomal RNA", at positions 29 to 509 of the family's 1533-position model. Lineage: Bacteria; Pseudomonadati; Pseudomonadota; Alphaproteobacteria. The record is from RNAcentral.